This 484-nucleotide ribosomal RNA is filed under the name uncultured bacterium. Its description in RNAcentral is "partial 16S ribosomal RNA". It matches the Rfam family "Bacterial small subunit ribosomal RNA", at positions 28 to 507 of the family's 1533-position model. The record is from RNAcentral.
AUUGAACGCUGGCGGCAUGCUUUACACAUGCAAGUCGAACGGCAGCGCGGGCUUCGGCCUGGCGGCGAGUGGCGAACGGGUGAGUAAUGCAUCGGAACGUGCCCAGUAGUGGGGGAUAGCCCGGCGAAAGCCGGAUUAAUACCGCAUACGACCUGAGGGUGAAAGCGUGGGACCGAAAGGCCUCGCGCUAUUGGAGCGGCCGAUGUCGGAUUAGCUAGUUGGUGGGGUAAAGGCUUACCAAGGCGACGAUCCGUAGCUGGUCUGAGAGGACGACCAGCCACACUGGGACUGAGACACGGCCCAGACUCCUACGGGAGGCAGCAGUGGGGAAUUUUGGACAAUGGGGGCAACCCUGAUCCAGCCAUGCCGCGUGCGGGAAGAAGGCCUUCGGGUUGUAAACCGCUUUUGUUCGGGAAGAAAUCCUCUGGGCUAAUACCCCGGGGGGAUGACGGUACCGGAAGAAUAAGCACCGGCUAACUACGUG